RNAcentral lists this ribosomal RNA (506 nucleotides) under uncultured bacterium. Its description in RNAcentral is "partial 16S ribosomal RNA". It matches the Rfam family "Bacterial small subunit ribosomal RNA", at positions 29 to 523 of the family's 1533-position model. The record is from RNAcentral.
AUUGAACGCUGGCGGCAGGCCUAACACAUGCAAGUCGGACGGUAGCACAGAGGAGCUUGCUCCUCGGGUGACGAGUGGCGGACGGGUGAGUAAUGUCUGGGGAUCUGCCCGAUAGAGGGGGAUAACCACUGGAAACGGUGGCUAAUACCGCAUAAUGUCGCAAGACCAAAGAGGGGGACCUUCGGGCCUCUCACUAUCGGAUGAACCCAGAUGGGAUUAGCUAGUAGGCGGGGUAACGGCCCACCUAGGCGACGAUCCCUAGCUGGUCUGAGAGGAGGACCAGCCACACUGGAACUGAGACACGGUCCAGACUCCUACGGGAGGCAGCAGUGGGGAAUAUUGCACAAUGGGCGCAAGCCUGAUGCAGCCAUGCCGCGUGUAUGAAGAAGGCCUUCGGGUUGUAAAGUACUUUCAGCGGGGAGGAAGGCGAUGUGGUUAAUAACCGCGUCGAUUGACGUUACCCGCAGAAGAAGCACCGGCUAACUCCGUGCCAGCAGCCGCCGUAA